GCAGAGAUGCUUUGGUGCCUUCGGGAACUGUGAGACAGGUGCUGCAUGGCUGUCGUCAGCUCGUGUUGUGAAAUGUUGGGUUAAGUCCCGCAACGAGCGCAACCCUUAUCCUUUGUUGCCAGCGGUCCGGCCGGGAACUCAAAGGAGACUGCCAGUGAUAAACUGGAGGAAGGUGGGGAUGACGUCAAGUCAUCAUGGCCCUUACGACCAGGGCUACACACGUGCUACAAUGGCAUAUACAAAGAGAAGCGACCUCGCGAGAGCAAGCGGACCUCAUAAAGUAUGUCGUAGUCCGGAUUGGAGUCUGCAACUCGACUCCAUGAAGUCGGAAUCGCUAGUAAUCGUAGAUCAGAAUGCUACGGUGAAUACGUUCCCGGGCCUUGUACACACCGCCCGUCACACCAUGGGAGUGGGUUGCAAAAGAAGUAGGUAGCUUAACCUUCGGGAGGGCGCUUACCACUUUGUGAUUCAUGACUGGGGUGAAGUCGUAACAAGGUAACCGUAGGGGAACCUGCGGUUGGAUCACCUCCUUA
Molecule: ribosomal RNA, 533 nt
Filed under: Klebsiella pneumoniae
Lineage: Bacteria; Pseudomonadati; Pseudomonadota; Gammaproteobacteria; Enterobacterales; Enterobacteriaceae
Also listed under: 2 other names
Description: bacterial SSU rRNA
Rfam family: Bacterial small subunit ribosomal RNA
Source: RNAcentral